RNAcentral lists this ribosomal RNA (395 nucleotides) under uncultured bacterium. RNAcentral describes it as "bacterial SSU rRNA". It matches the Rfam family "Bacterial small subunit ribosomal RNA", at positions 30 to 428 of the family's 1533-position model. The record is from RNAcentral.
AUUGAACGCUGGCGGCAUGCCUUACACAUGCAAGUCGAACGGCAGCACGGGAGCAAUCCUGGUGGCGAGUGGCGAACGGGUGAGUAAUAUAUCGGAACGUGCCCAGUCGUGGGGAUAACGUAGCGAAAGCUACGCUAAUACCGCAUACGAUCUAUGGAUGAAAGCGGGGGAUCGCAAGACCUCGCGCGAUUGGAGCGGCCGAUAUCAGAUUAGGUAGUUGGUGAGGUAAAGGCUCACCCAAGCCGACGAUCUGUAGCUGGUCUGAGAGGACGACCAGCCACACUGGGACUGAGACACGGCCCAGACUCCUACGGAGGCAGCAGUGGGGAAUUUUGGACAAUGGGCGCAAGCCUGAUCCAGCAAUGCCGCGUGCAGGAUGAAGGCCUCGGUUGUAA